GACGAACGCUGGCGGCGUGCUUAACACAUGCGAGUCGAACGGAAAGGCCUCAGCUUGCUGGGGUACUCGAGUGGCGAACGGGUGAGUAACACGUGGGUGAUCUGCCUUGCACUCUGGGAUAAGCUUGGGAAACUGGGUCUAAUACCGGAUAUGAACUGCCUUUAGUGUGGUGGUUGGAAAGUUUUUUCGGUGCAAGAUGAGCUCGCGGCCUAUCAGCUUGUUGGUGGGGUAAUGGCCUACCAAGGCGUCGACGGGUAGCCGGCCUGAGAGGGUGUACGGCCACAUUGGGACUGAGAUACGGCCCAGACUCCUACGGGAGGCAGCAGUGGGGAAUAUUGCACAAGGGGCGGAAGCCUGAUGCAGCGACGCCGCGUGGGGGAGGACGGCCUUCGGGUUGUAAACUCCUUUCGACAGGGACGAAGCUUUUUGUGACGGUACCUGUAGAAGAAGCACCGGCUAACUACGUG
This 467-nucleotide ribosomal RNA is filed under the name uncultured bacterium. Its description in RNAcentral is "partial 16S ribosomal RNA". It matches the Rfam family "Bacterial small subunit ribosomal RNA", at positions 28 to 507 of the family's 1533-position model. The record is from RNAcentral.